UACAGAGGGUGCGAGCGUUAAUCGGAAUUACUGGGCGUAAAGCGUGCGUAGACGGUUAUUUAAGUCGGAUGUGAAAGCCCCGGGCUCAACCUGGGAAUUGCAUUCGAGACUGAAUAGCUAGGGUACGGUAGAGGGAAGUGGAAUUUCCGGUGUAGCGGUGAAAUGCGUAGAUAUCGGAAGGAACACCAGUGGCGAAAGCGACUUCCUGGUCCAAUACUGACGUUCAUGUGCGAAAGCGUGGGGAGCAAACAGG
RNAcentral lists this ribosomal RNA (253 nucleotides) under uncultured prokaryote. RNAcentral's name for it is "partial 16S ribosomal RNA". It matches the Rfam family "Bacterial small subunit ribosomal RNA", at positions 524 to 776 of the family's 1533-position model. The record is from RNAcentral.